CUGGAGGUGAUGUUUACUGACCGCUGAUGCCAGUGAUGGUAUUUGUAUUCAUACUGUCUGAUCUAG
Molecule: small nucleolar RNA, 66 nt
Organism: Scleropages formosus (Asian bonytongue)
Lineage: Eukaryota; Metazoa; Chordata; Actinopteri; Osteoglossiformes; Osteoglossidae
Source: Ensembl